UACGUAGGGUGCAGGCGUUAAUCGGAAUUACUGGGCGUAAAGCGUGCGCAGGCGGUUUGCUAAGACAGGUGUGAAAUCCCCGGGCUUAACCUGGGAACUGCGCUUGUAACUGGCAAGCUAGAGUGUGGCAGAGGGGGGUGGAAUUCCACGUGUAGCAGUGAAAUGCGUAGAGAUGUGGAGGAACACCGAUGGCGAAGGCAGCCCCCUGGGCUAACGCUGACGCUCAUGCACGAAAGCGUGGGGAGCAAACAGG
RNAcentral lists this ribosomal RNA (253 nucleotides) under uncultured bacterium. Its description in RNAcentral is "partial 16S ribosomal RNA". It matches the Rfam family "Bacterial small subunit ribosomal RNA", at positions 524 to 776 of the family's 1533-position model. The record is from RNAcentral.